This 441-nucleotide ribosomal RNA is filed under the name uncultured bacterium. Its description in RNAcentral is "partial 16S ribosomal RNA". It matches the Rfam family "Bacterial small subunit ribosomal RNA", at positions 339 to 795 of the family's 1533-position model. The record is from RNAcentral.
CUACGGGACGCUCCAGUGGGGAAUAUUGGGCAAUGGGCGCAAGCCUGACCCAGCAACGCCGCGUGAGGGAAGAAGGUUCUCGGAUUGUAAACCUCUGUCCUUGGGGACGAAGAAAGUGACGGUACCCAAGGAGGAAGCUCCGGCUAACUACGUGCCAGCAGCCGCGGUAAUACGUAGGGAGCAAGCGUUGUCCGGAAUUACUGGGCGUAAAGGGUGCGUAGGCGGCAUAUUAAGUCAGGUGUGAAAUAUUCGGGCUCAACCCGAAGGGUGCAUUUGAAACUGGUAUGCUUGAGUGUGAGGAGGAAAGUGGAAUUCCUAGUGUAGCGGUGAAAUGCGUAGAUAUUAGGAGGAACACCAGUGGCGAAGGCGACUUUCUGGCUCAUAACUGACGCUGAGGCACGAAAGCGUGGGUAGCAAACAGGAUUAGAUACCCCGGUAGUC